UAAUAAGUGUUUUAUGGCACUUUUUAAAUCCAUAUCCACCUUGUGUGCAAUGUCAGUCGAUCUUCUUCAUGGAGAUCGACCAAACAUCAACCUUUAUCUUUUAACUCUUUGUCAUGAAAAAUAUUAUGAAUAAACAAUUCAAAAUA
RNAcentral lists this unclassified non-coding RNA (146 nucleotides) under soil metagenome. RNAcentral describes it as "partial internal transcribed spacer 1". The record is from RNAcentral.